UGGGGAAUAUUGCACAAUGGGCGAAAGCCUGAUGCAGCAACGCCGCGUGCGGGAUGACGGCCUUCGGGUUGUAAACCGCUUUCAGCAGGGACGAAGGUUUUCUGACGGUACCUGCAGAAGAAGCACCGGCUAACUACGUGCCAGCAGCCGCGGUGAUACGUAGGGUGCGAGCGUUGUCCGGAAUUAUUGGGCGUAAAGAGCUUGUAGGCGGUCCGUUGCGUCGGAAGUGAAAACUCAGGGCUUAACCCUGAGCCUGCUUUCGAUACGGGCGGACUUGAGGGAUGUAGGGGAGAACGGAAUUCCUGGUGGAGUGGUGGAAUGCGCAGAUAUCAGGAGGAACACCAGUGGCGAAGGCGGUUCUCUGGACAUUUCCUGACGCUGAGAAGCGAAAGCGUGGGGAGCAAACAGGCUUAGAUACCCUGGUAGUCCACGCCGUAAACGGUGGGCACUAGGUGUGGGACCCAUUCCACGGGUUCCGUGCCGUAGCUAACGCAUUAAGUG
Molecule: ribosomal RNA, 501 nt
Filed under: uncultured bacterium
Lineage: Bacteria
Description: partial 16S ribosomal RNA
Rfam family: Bacterial small subunit ribosomal RNA
Source: RNAcentral